GUAUUUGCUUUGGCAACACAUAUACUAAAAUUGGAAUGAUACAAAGAUUAGCAUGCCCAUGUGCAAGGAUGACUCCUAAAUUCAUGAAGCAUUCCAUUUUUUC
Molecule: small nuclear RNA, 103 nt
Organism: Mustela putorius furo (domestic ferret)
Lineage: Eukaryota; Metazoa; Chordata; Mammalia; Carnivora; Mustelidae
Source: Ensembl